GAUGAAGAACGUAGCGAAAUGCGAUACGUAAUGUGAAUUGCAGAAUUCAGUGAAUCAUCGAAUCUUUGAACGCAUAUUGCGCUCUCUGGUAUUCCGGAGAGCAUGCUUGUUUGAGUAUCAGUAAACACCUCAACUUCCAUAUCUUUUUUGAAAUGGGAGUUGGACUUGAGUGAUCCCAACGCUUUUCCUCACCGAAAAGUGGCGGGUUACUUGAAAUGCAGGUGCAGCUGGACUUUUCUCUGAGCUAUAAGCACAUCUAUUUAGUCUGCCUAAAAACAGAUUAUUACCUUUGCUGCAGCUAACAUAAAGGAGAUUAGUUCUUGUGCUGACUGAUGCAGGAUUCACAAAGACAGGCUUCGGCCGACUUUGUAAACUCGAUCUCAAAUCAAGUAAGACUACCCGCUGAACUUAAGCAUAUCAAUAAGCGGAGGA
Molecule: unclassified non-coding RNA, 432 nt
Filed under: soil metagenome
Description: partial contains 5.8S ribosomal RNA, internal transcribed spacer 2, and large subunit ribosomal RNA
Rfam family: 5.8S ribosomal RNA (bases 1-120)
Source: RNAcentral